GGGCUGGACAGGAAGCGACGGAGACGCGCAGCGUGCGUCCUCGGCGGCUCCGGCACAGAAGAACGGGAAAGAGAAGGAGGGCGAGCGUGUAGACGAGGCAGCGUGUGGAAACAUGAGGAUAACGGGACCGUUUUCUUUUCGCUAGAUUCAUCUUUUAAACAGAUAACUACGCGCACCGGGAGGUUUUUUUUUAUUACCCCCCCCCCCCAUCCCGAGGUCGGCGGUGUUUGCUCCUCCCGCUGGAGAACAACAGGAGAAGAGAGGAUCUCCUUUGUGAAUCCGGCUUGAAUGUGGCUGUUCCUCACCCCCCUCCUUCCUCCCCCACCUCCUCUACUGUGUUACAGUCUGCUCCAUUCACCGUGUUAAAGUGAAAACUGUCUCAAAGCCCCGAGCCCACUUUUUUUUUUGCACACCUGUCUUUUAAGUUAAGCUGCACGCCGUCAGGGAAACCUCCUCCUCCCCCCUGAUACUGAUCUCAGCAUCCAAGGUUGGGGAAAGGGAAUGUCAUCCCAGUGGGAGUCCUCAGAACGCAAAACGGGGCAGUGAGUUAUGGUACCGUGUUUUCUCUCCCCGCCCCAACCUGCCCAUGAAACCCGGCACCAAGUGAAAAGCCGC
Gasterosteus aculeatus aculeatus (three-spined stickleback) is the source of this 615-nucleotide long non-coding RNA. NCBI's taxonomy places the organism in Eukaryota, Metazoa, Chordata, Actinopteri, Perciformes, Gasterosteidae. The record is from Ensembl.